UACGUAGGCAGCGAGCGUUGUUCGGAGUUACUGGGCGUAAAGGGUGUGUAGGCGGUUGUUUAAGUUUGGUGUGAAAUCUCCCGGCUCAACUGGGAGGGUGCGCCGAAUACUGAAUGACUAGAGUGUGGGAGAGGUGAGUGGAAUUCCUGGUGUAGCGGUGAAAUGCGUAGAGCUCGGGAAGAACAUCGGUGGCGAAAGCGCUCUACUGGACGACAACUGACACUCAGGGACGGAAGCUAGGGGAGCGAAUGGG
RNAcentral lists this ribosomal RNA (253 nucleotides) under uncultured bacterium. Its description in RNAcentral is "partial 16S ribosomal RNA". It matches the Rfam family "Bacterial small subunit ribosomal RNA", at positions 524 to 776 of the family's 1533-position model. The record is from RNAcentral.